RNAcentral lists this ribosomal RNA (803 nucleotides) under uncultured bacterium. RNAcentral's name for it is "bacterial SSU rRNA". It matches the Rfam family "Bacterial small subunit ribosomal RNA", at positions 8 to 807 of the family's 1533-position model. The record is from RNAcentral.
AGAGUUUGAUCCUGGCUCAGGAUGAACGCUGGCGGCGUGCUUAACACAUGCAAGUCGAACGGAGCACCGGACACGGACUAUUUCGGUAGGAAGCGUGCGGAGGCUUAGUGGCGGACGGGUGAGUAACGCGUGGAUAACCUGCCGCAUACCGGGGGAUAACAGCUGGAAACAGCUGCUAAUACCGCAUAUGCCCGCAGUGCCGCAUGGCACAGCGGGGAAAACUCCGGUGGUAUGCGAUGGGUCCGCGUCUGAUUAGGCAGUUGGCGGGGUAACGGCCCACCAAACCGACGAUCAGUAGCCGGCCUGAGAGGGCGGACGGCCACACUGGGACUGAGACACGGCCCAGACUCCUGCGGGAGGCAGCAGUGGGGAAUAUUGCACAAUGGGGGAAACCCUGAUGCAGCGACGCCGCGUGAAGGAAGAAGUAUCUCGGUAUGUAAACUUCUAUCAGCAGGGAAGAAAACAGACGGUACCUGACUAAGAAGCCCCGGCUAACUACGUGCCAGCAGCCGCGGUAAUACGUAGGGGGCAAGCGUUAUCCGGAUUUACUGGGUGUAAAGGGGGCGCAGACGGCCAUGGCAAGCCCGGUGUGAAAGGCAGGGGCAUAACCCCUGGACUGCACUGGGAACUGUCAGGCUGGAGUGCCGGAGGGGUAAGCGGAAUUCCUGGUGUAGAGGUGAAAUGCGUAGAUAUCAGGAGGAACACCGGCGGCGAAGGCGGCUUACUGGACGGCAACUGACGUUGAGGCUCGAAAGCGUGGGGAGCGAACAGGAUUAGAUACCCUGGUAGUCCACGCCGUAAAC